GACUGGGAUAACUCCGGGAAACCGGGGCUAAUACCGGAUGGUUGUCUGAACCGCAUGGUUCAGACAUAAAAGGUGGCUUCGGCUACCACUUACAGAUGGACCCGCGGCGCAUUAGCUAGUUGGUGAGGUAACGGCUCACCAAGGCGACGAUGCGUAGCCGACCUGAGAGGGUGAUCGGCCACACUGGGACUGAGACACGGCCCAGACUCCUACGGGAGGCAGCAGUAGGGAAUCUUCCGCAAUGGACGAAAGUCUGACGGAGCAACGCCGCGUGAGUGAUGAAGGUUUUCGGAUCGUAAAGCUCUGUUGUUAGGGAAGAACAAGUGCCGUUCAAAUAGGGCGGCACCUUGACGGUACCUAACCAGAAAGCCACGGCUAACUACGUGCCAGCAGCCGCGGUAAUACGUAGGUGGCAAGCGUUGUCCGGAAUUAUUGGGCGUAAAGGGCUCGCAGGCGGUUUCUUAAGUCUGAUGUGAAAGCCCCCGGCUCAACCGGGGAGGGUCAUUGGAAACUGGGGAACUUGAGUGCAGAAGAGGAGAGUGGAAUUCCACGUGUAGCGGUGAAAUGCGUAGAGAUGUGGAGGAACACCAGUGGCGAAGGCGACUCUCUGGUCUGUAACUGACGCUGAGGAGCGAAAGCGUGGGGAGCGAACAGGAUUAGAUACCCUGGUAGUCCACGCCGUAAACGAUGAGUGCUAAGUGUUAGGGGGUUUCCGCCCCUUAGUGCUGCAGCUAACGCAUUAAGCACUCCGCCUGGGGAGUACGGUCGCAAGACUGAAACUCAAAGGAAUUGACGGGGGCCCGCACAAGCGGUGGAGCAUGUGGUUUAAUUCGAAGCAACGCGAAGAACCUUACCAGGUCUUGACAUCCUCUGACAAUCCUAGAGAUAGGACGUCCCCUGCGGGGGCAGAGUGACAGGUGGUGCAUGGUUGUCGUCAGCUCGUGUCGUGAGAUGUUGGGUUAAGUCCCGCAACGAGCGCAACCCUUGAUCUUAGUUGCCAGCAUUCAGUUGGGCACUCUAAGGUGACUGCCGGUGACAAACCGGAGGAAGGUGGGGAUGACGUCAAAUCAUCAUGCCCCUUAUGACCUGGGCUACACACGUGCUACAAUGGACAGAACAAAGGGCAGCGAAACCGCGAGGUUAAGCCAAUCCCACAAAUCUGUUCUCAGUUCGGAUCGCAGUCUGCAACUCGACUGC
Molecule: ribosomal RNA, 1197 nt
Filed under: Bacillus amyloliquefaciens
Lineage: Bacteria; Bacillati; Bacillota; Bacilli; Caryophanales; Bacillaceae
Description: bacterial SSU rRNA
Rfam family: Bacterial small subunit ribosomal RNA
Source: RNAcentral